RNAcentral lists this long non-coding RNA (389 nucleotides) under Brachypodium distachyon (stiff brome). RNAcentral's name for it is "long non-coding RNA (BDIS_LNC005969)". The record is from RNAcentral. Lineage: Eukaryota; Viridiplantae; Streptophyta; Magnoliopsida; Poales; Poaceae.
CCUCACAUUCUGCACUAAGAAUUUUCAGUCAGACCUACACAGCAACAUGGCACAUGCUCAAGAACUUCAGCUCCAGAUCAGAGGUACAGGUACCUCCACAUCCUCUUUCUCCUUUUGUGUAUGAACUGUUCAGAUCAGUCUUGGUUGCGCAAACAUUUUUUGUUUCCUUGAUGUUUACCUCCUUCUGAUCUUGGAAAGUUGGACCGUUAUCGGUUUCUCUAAGAUCAUGUUACGGUGGCCGAUAAUCUCCAUGCGUCUGCAAGUCCAGCUUGGACUGUUUUCUUGCUCUGGACCAGCAAACAAGCAUCGAGAUCAUCUUUUCUUUCGAUGUCAACUAGCUCUUCUUACGCCAUAAUUCCGCCGCCAGCCGCCUGGAGCGUUUAGUGAAA